This 253-nucleotide ribosomal RNA is filed under the name uncultured bacterium. Its description in RNAcentral is "partial 16S ribosomal RNA". It matches the Rfam family "Bacterial small subunit ribosomal RNA", at positions 524 to 776 of the family's 1533-position model. The record is from RNAcentral.
UACAGAGGGUGCGAGCGUUAAUCGGAAUUACUGGGCGUAAAGCGCACGUAGGCGGCUUGGCCUGUCGGGUGUGAAAUCCCCGGGCUCAACCUGGGAACUGCAUCCGAAACUGCCUUGCUAGAGUAUGGGAGAGGGAAGUGGAAUUUCCGGUGUAGCGGUGAAAUGCGUAGAUAUCGGAAGGAACAUCAGUGGCGAAGGCGACUUCCUGGACCAAUACUGACGCUCAGGUGCGAAAGCGUGGGGAGCAAACAGG